This 506-nucleotide ribosomal RNA is filed under the name uncultured bacterium. RNAcentral describes it as "partial 16S ribosomal RNA". It matches the Rfam family "Bacterial small subunit ribosomal RNA", at positions 29 to 523 of the family's 1533-position model. The record is from RNAcentral.
AGUGAACGCUGGCGGUAGGCCUAACACAUGCGAGUCGAACGGCAGCACAGGAGAGCUUGCUCUCUGGGUGGCGAGUGGCGGACGGGUGAGGAAUACAUCGGAAUCUACUCUGUCGUGGGGGAUAACGUAGGGAAACUUACGCCAAUACCGCAUACGACCUACGGGUGAAAGCAGGGGACCUUCGGGCCUUGCGCGAUUGAAUGAGCCGAUGUCGGAUUAGCUAGUUGGCGGGGUAAAGGCCCGCCAAGGCGACGAUCCGUAGCUGGUCUGGCAGGAGGAUCAGCCACACUGGGACUGAGACACGGUCCAGACUCCUACGGGAGGCAGCAGUGGGGAAUAUUGGACAAUGGUCGCAAGCCUGAUCCAGCCAUACCGCGUGGGUGAAGAAGGCCUUCGGGUUGUAAAGCCCUUUUGUUGGGAAAGAAAUCCAGCUGGCUAAUACCCGGUUGGGAUGACGGUACCCAAAGAAUAAGCACCGGCUAACUUCGUGCCAGCCGCCGCCGUAA